RNAcentral lists this ribosomal RNA (403 nucleotides) under bacterium. RNAcentral describes it as "partial 16S ribosomal RNA". It matches the Rfam family "Bacterial small subunit ribosomal RNA", at positions 355 to 776 of the family's 1533-position model. The record is from RNAcentral. RNAcentral also lists the same sequence under 1 other name.
UGGGGAAUAUUGCACAAUGGGGGAAACCCUGAUGCAGCGACGCCGCGUGAACGAAGAAGGUAUUCGUAUCGUAAAGUUCUGUCCUAUGGGAAGAUAAUGACAGUACCAUAGAAGAAAGCUCCGGCUAAAUACGUGCCAGCAGCCGCGGUAAUACGUAUGGAGCGAGCGUUGUCCGGAAUUAUUGGGCGUAAAGGGUACGCAGGCGGUUUAAUAAGUCGAAUGUUAAAGAUCGGGGCUCAACCCCGUAAAGCAUUGGAAACUGAUAAACUUGAGGAGUGGAGAGGAAAGUGGAAUUCCUAGUGUAGUGGUGAAAUACGUAGAUAUUAGGAGGAAUACCAGUAGCGAAGGCGACUUUCUGGACACAAACUGACGCUGAGGUACGAAAGCGUGGGGAGCAAACAGG